UCGGGAAUUUUGGGCAAUGGGCGAAAGCCUGACCCAGCAACGCCGCGUGAAGGAUGAAGUAUUUCGGUAUGUAAACUUCGAAAGAAUAGGAAGAAUAAAUGACGGUACUAUUUAUAAGGUCCGGCUAACUACGUGCCAGCAGCCGCGGUAAUACGUAGGGACCAAGCGUUGUUCGGAUUUACUGGGCGUAAAGGGCGCGUAGGCGGCUUGACAAGUCACUUGUGAAAUCUCUGGGCUUAACCCAGAACGGCCAAGUGAAACUGUCAUGCUAGAGUGCAGAAGGGGCAAUCGGAAUUCUUGGUGUAGCGGUGAAAUGCGUAGAUAUCAAGAGGAACACCUGAGGUGAAGACGGGUUGCUGGGCUGACACUGACGCUGAGGCGCGAAAGCCAGGGGAGCAAACGGGAUUAGAUACCCAAGUAGUCCCUG
Molecule: ribosomal RNA, 427 nt
Filed under: uncultured bacterium
Lineage: Bacteria
Description: bacterial SSU rRNA
Rfam family: Bacterial small subunit ribosomal RNA
Source: RNAcentral